GACGAACCGUGCAAACGUUAUUCGGAAUCACUGGGCAUAAAGGGCGCGUAGGCGGCUCGAAAAGUCAGGGGUGAAAUCCGGCAGCUUAACUGUCGCAGUGCCUUUGAUACUGUCGAGCUCGAGGGAGGUAGGGGUCUGUGGAACUUCCGGUGGAGCGGUGAAAUGCGUUGAUAUCGGAAGGAACGCCGGUGGCGAAAGCGACGGACUGGAUCUCUUCUGACGCUGAGGCGCGAAAGCGUGGGGAGCGAACAGG
Molecule: ribosomal RNA, 253 nt
Filed under: uncultured bacterium
Lineage: Bacteria
Description: partial 16S ribosomal RNA
Rfam family: Bacterial small subunit ribosomal RNA
Source: RNAcentral